RNAcentral lists this ribosomal RNA (510 nucleotides) under Salinispora pacifica. RNAcentral describes it as "bacterial SSU rRNA". It matches the Rfam family "Bacterial small subunit ribosomal RNA", at positions 104 to 628 of the family's 1533-position model. Lineage: Bacteria; Bacillati; Actinomycetota; Actinomycetes; Micromonosporales; Micromonosporaceae. The record is from RNAcentral.
GGGUGAGUAACACGUGAGUAACCUGCCCCAGGCUUUGGGAUAACCCCGGGAAACCGGGGCUAAUACCGGAUAUGACUGGCUGCCGCAUGGUGGUUGGUGGAAAGAUUUUUCGGCUUGGGAUGGACUCGCGGCCUAUCAGCUUGUUGGUGGGGUAAUGGCCUACCAAGGCGGCGACGGGUAGCCGGCCUGAGAGGGCGACCGGCCACACUGGGACUGAGACACGGCCCAGACUCCUACGGGAGGCAGCAGUGGGGAAUCUUGCACAAUGGGCGGAAGCCUGAUGCAGCGACGCCGCGUGAGGGAUGACGGCCUUCGGGUUGUAAACCUCUUUCAGCAGGGACGAAGCGUUUGUGACGGUACCUGCAGAAGAAGCGCCGGCCAACUACGUGCCAGCAGCCGCGGUAAGACGUAGGGCGCGAGCGUUGUCCGGAUUUAUUGGGCGUAAAGAGCUCGUAGGCGGCUUGUCGCGUCGACUGUGAAAACCCGUGGCUCAACUGCGGGCUUGCAGUC